CCCUUAGAUGUUCUGGGCAGCACGCGCGCUACAAUGGUCUUCGCAAACGGAUGCAUUCUCGAAGGAGAAUGCCAAUCUUGGAAUCUAUGCCUUGGUCGGGACAGUUGCUUGCAAUUUUUCGACUCGAACCAGGAAUUCCUUGUAAUCGUGAUUCAUCACAUCACGAUGAAUACGUCCCUGCCCUUUGUACACACCGCCCGUCGCUCCUACCGAUCGAAGAGUUAGGUGAAUUGUUAUGAUCGAUAAGAUUUGACUAUGGUCAACUCUCGUUGUGAAAUUCUGUGAAUCUGACUGUUUAGAGGAAGGAAAAGUCGUAACA
RNAcentral lists this ribosomal RNA (319 nucleotides) under uncultured eukaryote. Its description in RNAcentral is "partial 18S ribosomal RNA". It matches the Rfam family "Eukaryotic small subunit ribosomal RNA", at positions 1470 to 1796 of the family's 1831-position model. The record is from RNAcentral.